GUGGAAGCAAUUGGAUUCUACACAUGAUUUCUUUCUCCACUUUGAAAGGUCAAUGAUGGGCAGAAGAAAUUGCAGAAAGAUUGCAGAAACAUUUCUGCCCCACCUCCCUGAGUUGCAGAGGUCCUCCAGGUAGCAGAACCAGGGUGAUUCCAUGCACAGAAAGGAC
Molecule: long non-coding RNA, 166 nt
Organism: Mauremys reevesii (Reeves's turtle)
Lineage: Eukaryota; Metazoa; Chordata; Testudines; Geoemydidae
Exons: 3
Source: RefSeq, a predicted model, not a curated record